RNAcentral lists this ribosomal RNA (513 nucleotides) under uncultured bacterium. RNAcentral's name for it is "bacterial SSU rRNA". It matches the Rfam family "Bacterial small subunit ribosomal RNA", at positions 56 to 602 of the family's 1533-position model. The record is from RNAcentral.
UGCAAGUCGAGCGUGAUUCCAAUCUUCGGAUUGGAUGAAAGCGGCGAACGGGUGAGUAACGCGUGGGAACCUGUCCUAAAGAGGGGGAUAACCGUUGGAAACGACGGCUAAUACCGCAUAUACCGUAACCGGGAAAGAUUUAUCGCUUUAGGAUGGUCCCGCGUUGGAUUAGGUAGUUGGUAGGGUAACGGCCUACCAAGCCGACGAUCCAUAGCUGGUCUGAGAGGACGUACAGCCACACUGGGACUGAGACACGGCCCAGACUCCUACGGGAGGCAGCAGUGGGGAAUUUUGCGCAAUGGGGGCAACCCUGACGCAGCCAUGCCCGCGUGAGUGAAGAAGGCCUGCGGGUUGUAAAGCUCUUUCGCCCGUGAAGAUGAUGACCGUAACGGAAGAAGAAGCCCCGGCUAACUUCGUGCCAGCAGCCGCGGUAAUACGAAGGGGGCAAGCGUUGUUCGGAAUUACUGGGCGUAAAGCGCGCGUAGGCGGUUUGGCAAGUUAAAGGUGAAAUGU